GACGAACGCUGGCGGCGUGCUUAACACAUGCAAGUCGUACGGUAAGGCCCUUUCGGGGGUACACGAGUGGCGCACGGGUGAGUAACACGUGAGUAACCUGCCCACAACUUUGGGAUAACGCUAGGAAACUGGUGCUAAUACUGGAUAUGUGCUCCUGCUGCAAGGUGGGGGUUGGAAAGCUCCGGCGGUUGUGGAUGGACUCGCGGCCUAUCAGCUUGUUGGUGGGGUAGUGGCCUACCAAGGCGGCGACGGGUAGCCGGCCUGAGAGGGUGACCGGCCACAUUGGGACUGAGAUACGGCCCAGACUCCUACGGGAGGCAGCAGUGGGGAAUAUUGCACAAUGGGCGCAAGCCUGAUGCAGCAACGCCGCGUGCGGGAUGACGGCCUUCGGGUUGUAAACCGCUUUCAGCAGGGACGAAGCUUUUUGUGACGGUACCUGCAGAAGAAGCACCGGCUAACUACGUG
Molecule: ribosomal RNA, 465 nt
Filed under: uncultured bacterium
Lineage: Bacteria
Description: partial 16S ribosomal RNA
Rfam family: Bacterial small subunit ribosomal RNA
Source: RNAcentral